RNAcentral lists this non-coding RNA (29 nucleotides) under Mus musculus (house mouse). Lineage: Eukaryota; Metazoa; Chordata; Mammalia; Rodentia; Muridae. The record is from RNAcentral.
UAAGCAAAGGUAGUCCUCUCAUGGUUCAU